This 1014-nucleotide long non-coding RNA is filed under the name Mus musculus (house mouse). RNAcentral describes it as "long non-coding RNA chr6:149334638-149335652". The record is from RNAcentral. Lineage: Eukaryota; Metazoa; Chordata; Mammalia; Rodentia; Muridae.
UUUGAAAUACUACAAAACCCAGUAAAAGAAUCAAAUAUCAUGUUCCGGACCUACAAAAAGAUGUACCUUGAGAAGAGAAGCAGAAGCCUCGGGAGUAGUCCAGUUAAAUAGUCCCAGGAAGUCAUGGUUUUUGUUUUUACCAAGAGAACACCCCUAGUCUUUUCUUUUCAGGCUCCCUUGCAGAAAAUACCUCAGGACAGUCACAUCGGGAUUUCUCAGCCAAGGAGUUCCUGUAUAGCUUUUCACUGAUACUAUGUGACUGAAAUGUUGGAUUAGCUGCUGGUGAGCAGGCAAAAAGAAAGAUUGCAUUUGUCUGGGAAUUACAAAGUGUAUGCUAAUGAUGCAGUGAUCUGCAUUGUUGAACUGUGUUUACUGGGUUUUUUGUUUUGUUUUCUUUUUUUUUUUUUUUUUUUGAGACAGGGUUUCUCUGUAGCCCUUGCUGUCCUGGAACUCACUCUGUAGUCCAAGCUGGCCUUGAACUCAGAGAUCCACCUGCCUCUGCCUCCCGAGUGCUGGGAUUAAAGGCCUGCACCACCACGCCUGGUUCACGUUUACUGUUUUAAGUCUUGCUGGCACAGUGGUGCAUACCUGUGACCCUAACAUUUGACUCGUGGACACAAGAGGAUCAAGAAUUCAGGGUCAUUCUCAACAGAAUAGUGAGUCUGGUGAAGUCAGCUUAGGCUACAUGGGAGCCUCUCUCUAAAAGCAAAACAACAGCAACCAAAAAAGGGGAAUGAGGGUGGCUUAUACAAACCUUACUUUGAAAUGCUGUCAUCCUGAGGUAACUUGGUUGUUUGACUGGGGCUGUAAAUAGAUUCUUGUUUCUAAGCACAUUAGCAAAAUUUAUUUUUCAGAAAGUGCCCAUUGUGAAUGUCAAAGUAUAUUCCAAGUAUUUUGUACCUCAUUGUAAAGGUUUUUUCAGAAGUCUUGUUUUAUACUUUUGUUAAAGUGAAUGGAGUUUUUGGAAGAUGUCUUAACAUUACUUUUCAUACUUGAAAUAAACAUUUAUUUUUU